Molecule: unclassified non-coding RNA, 1910 nt
Organism: Vigna unguiculata (cowpea)
Lineage: Eukaryota; Viridiplantae; Streptophyta; Magnoliopsida; Fabales; Fabaceae
Source: RefSeq, a predicted model, not a curated record
GAUUCUUUGUCUCUCUUAUGAAAAAUCUUAAGAAGGAAACUAUAAUAAUAUUAUUAUGAUAUUUUAUGAACCGCUAAUCUGAUUUAGUGUUUGGGAAGAGGGUUGCACUACACCAAUUAUUUAUUGUUCUAAGUAUCAGAAUUUACAGUGGGAGGGUAAUAGGUAUAAAUUUGACCCAUUGAAAUUGCAGAGAGAGAAAACCGAUAAAGAAAAAGUUGAGGGUGGAAUCUGUGAAGCUAUCGUUUCUUUCUGGUUUGAUUUAGGGAUUUCCGUUCAAAUGGACGACGGCGAGCUUGAUUUCUCGACGCAGGAAGUGUUUUCGAGUCCGAACAUGGGGGAGCUUCCGAGCAGUGGUUCCAUGGACAGUUUCUUCGACGAGCUUCUCAAGGACACGCAUGCCUGCACGCACACGCACACAUGCAACCCUCCAGGGCCCGAUUUUUCGCACACUCACACGUGCUACCACGUGCACACCAAAAUCGUGCCGGCACCGGAUGAGGACCAGGUGGCCACCGACGACACGGCGGAGUCCGCGGAGAAGAAGUCGAAGAAGCGGCCCCUUGGGAACAAAGAAGCGGUUCGAAAGUACCGCGAGAAGAAGAAGGCUCGCGCGGCCUCGCUGGAGGACGAGGUGGUGAAAUUGAGGGCUCUCAAUCAGCAUUUGAUGAAGAAGUUGCAGAACCAGGCUGCUUUGGAAGCUGAAAUCGCGAGGCUGAAGUGCUUGCUGGUGGACAUAAGGGGCAGGAUUGAAGGGGAAAUUGGUUCCUUUCCGUAUCAGAAAUCGCCGAAUGCGAACCCCCCGGUGGUUAACCUGCCUGGUUCUUAUGUGAUGAACCCUUGCAACAUGCAGUGUGAUGAUAGGGUGUAUUGCCUUCACCCAGGAGCUGAUGGGAGAAUCGUGGAGAAUGUGUCGUUAAAUGGAGAAGAGUUUGGUGGUUGUGAAUUUGAGAACCUGCAGUGUCUAGCAAACCAGAAUUUGGGGCUCAAGGACCUGCGUGCAUGUGGAGUUGGGCAAGCAGGAUCUAAUGUAAAUUCUUCUGCGUCAAAAAGAAAAGGGGGAUCUCGUGCAGCAACAGCUGGUUGAAGAAUUAAUAGAACGGUGGUUUUCAUCCUUGCCAUGGUAAUAUCUCCUUCCAAUAUCUCGUUACCAGUUGCAGCAUCAGCCAUCCAUCAAGUCAUUUUUUAAAAUAAUUUUCUCUUUUUGACCCUCUGUGCAUUAUCGUGGUUCGAAUGGCUGUUCUACUAUGGAAGAUUAGUCAUAAAUCAAUGUUUCUUCUUAAAGUAUUAUGGUUGAUCUGUAAACAGCAUAGCUUAUGGCUGAGACAGAUUGGGCUCUUCUCUCCGCUAUUAGUUUUCUUGUUUUUUUAAGCAUGGAACUAGUUAAAUUGACAUCAUAAAUGUUUCUAUGCUCAGUCACUUUUACAUUUGUCAGUAUGUGAGUAUUGGUUGCUUUGUUUAACAAUAAGAGAAUAUUUAGUGGCGAUUCAUGUUUUCUAAAUUCGCAAGUUUUUCCUUGCUGGAUUACAGAACUUAGGGCAGAUGAGGUGUGUUUCAUCUUUCAGUACUUAGUGCUGUGGACAGCAUAUUUACUGGACAAGGGUUGACUAAUAUGUAUCCAGAAGGAACUGUAGUCCCCUAAGUGAAGAUUUUGCAUGCGGGCUUGUCUUCUACAAGUUAAGACAUACAAGUGACUUGUUUUGUAUUUGAGAACGCAAGUAGCUGUAGCUGAUUCAAUCAUGGGAAGCAUAUCUGCCUUUCUGCACUUAGAGAACAAGUCUUCACUAGUUUUUGGUGACCCUCUUUUUGGCAUGAGAUGAUUAAUAAAACAUUACGUCAUUGUAUCUUCUACUUGGAUUGUCAUUUCUGGACAAAUUUUGUAAUAAUUAACCUCGCAUUGGUUUCUCGUUCAA